UACGUAGGGUGCAAGCGUUGUCCGGAAUUACUGGGCGUAAAGGGCUCGUAGGCGGCCAACUAAGCCAGACGUGAAAUCCCUGGGCUCAACCCAGGAACUGCGUCCGAUACUGGCAGGCUUGAAUCCGGGAGAGGGAUGUGGAAUUCCAGGUGUAGCGGUGAAAUGCGUAGAUAUCUGGAGGAACACCGGUGGCGAAGGCGGCAUCCUGGACCGGUAUUGACGCUGAGGCGCGAAAGCCAGGGGAGCAAACGGG
RNAcentral lists this ribosomal RNA (253 nucleotides) under uncultured bacterium. RNAcentral's name for it is "partial 16S ribosomal RNA". It matches the Rfam family "Bacterial small subunit ribosomal RNA", at positions 524 to 776 of the family's 1533-position model. The record is from RNAcentral.